This 546-nucleotide long non-coding RNA is filed under the name Gossypium barbadense (sea-island cotton). RNAcentral describes it as "long non-coding RNA (GBAR_LNC016238)". Lineage: Eukaryota; Viridiplantae; Streptophyta; Magnoliopsida; Malvales; Malvaceae. The record is from RNAcentral.
ACAGACCGUAACAAGAAGUUUGGCAUUUGCAUAUCCCUCCUCAUGGGAAGGAGCUUAUUUGGCGUUGUUUGCACUUCUUUCUUCCGAUUAAAAUUUGGCUUCUGAAAUGGGUAUUCCCGUUAUACAAGUAUGUUGGGAGGAGGAUGGGAAUGAGGACAUUGAACAUGCCUUGUUGAGCUGCCGUAAGGUGCAAGCUGUUUGGACUACAGCAACAAUACCUACGGAUGGGGUUACUUUGUCGGAUUUCUUGUCGGGAUUGCUGACUUAGUCGAUCAGUGAGGCUCAGGAGGCUUGUGUUGUUGUGGCAAAUGUUUGCAAAUGUUUCCAAUCAUUAUGAUCACAUCAUAAUUGAGUCGGAUUGUGUGUCAAUAGUGUAUGAUGUAUUAAAUCGAUGAUGAUUCGGAGUUUAACUGUUUAAUUUUAAAUUCCUUAAUGUUGAGUAUUUUGUUUCAGCACUUAUCCUUUAGUUGGGUGCGUCGAUUGACCAAUAAGACAACUCAUUUGCUUUUUCGGAUACCCUUAUUACAUGCAAAUCACAUUGAAUAG